This 253-nucleotide ribosomal RNA is filed under the name uncultured bacterium. RNAcentral describes it as "partial 16S ribosomal RNA". It matches the Rfam family "Bacterial small subunit ribosomal RNA", at positions 524 to 776 of the family's 1533-position model. The record is from RNAcentral.
GACGUAGGGCGCGAGCGUUGUCCGGAUUUAUUGGGCGUAAAGAGCUCGUAGGCGGCUUGUUGCGUCGACCGUGAAAACCCGGGGCUCAACUUCGGGCUUGCGGUCGAUACGGGCGGGCUAGAGUUCGGUAGGGGAGACUGGAAUUCCUGGUGUAGCGGUGAAAUGCGCAGAUAUCAGGAGGAACACCGGUGGCGAAGGCGCCUACCUGGCCCGAUACUGACGCUGAGGCGCGAAAGCUAGGGGAGCAAACGGG